GACGGCCAUACCGCCCCGAAUACACCGGUUGUUGUCCAAUCACCGAAGAAAAGCAGCAUUGGGCGCGAUCAGUACUUGGAUGGGUGACCGCCUGGGAACAACGCGU
Molecule: non-coding RNA, 106 nt
Organism: Eumeta japonica
Lineage: Eukaryota; Metazoa; Arthropoda; Insecta; Lepidoptera; Psychidae
Source: the annotation of a GenBank genome assembly